RNAcentral lists this ribosomal RNA (451 nucleotides) under uncultured bacterium. RNAcentral describes it as "bacterial SSU rRNA". It matches the Rfam family "Bacterial small subunit ribosomal RNA", at positions 354 to 796 of the family's 1533-position model. The record is from RNAcentral.
GUGGGGAAUAUUGCGCAAUGGGGGCAACCCUGACGCAGCAACGCCGUGUGUGUGAUGAAGGCCUUCGGGUCGUAAAACACUGUCAGCAGGGAAGAUGGUUUCACAUGUUAAUACCAUGUGGGAUUGACGGUACCUGCGGAGGAAGCACCGGCUAACUCUGUGCCAGCAGCCGCGGUAAGACAGAGGGUGCAAGCGUUGUUCGGAAUUAUUGGGCGUAAAGCGCACGUAGGCGGCUUGUUAAGCUGGAUGUGAAAUCCCUGGGCUCAACCCAGGAAGUGCAUCCAGAACUGGCAGGCUUGAAUCCUGGAGGGGGUGGUGGAAUUCCCGGUGUAGAGGUGAAAUUCGUAGAUAUCGGGAGGAACACCAGUGGCGAAGGCGACCACCUGGACAGAGAUUGACGCUGAGGUGCGAAAGCGUGGGUAGCAAACAGGAUUAGAAACCCCAGUAGUCC